RNA transcript from Pieris napi, 3361 nucleotides. RefSeq lists it as uncharacterized. The record is from RefSeq and is a predicted model, not a curated record. The transcript is spliced from 5 exons. NCBI's taxonomy places the organism in Eukaryota, Metazoa, Arthropoda, Insecta, Lepidoptera, Pieridae.
UAAUUAUGGCUUAAUAUACGACGCCAUUUUGCUUAUUGUUGAUGUAAACAAAACGGACAGGAACAGACCUGUCAUUGUUCAGAUACACAUGCACUCAAUAUAAUGAUUUUAGACGUAAAAAUAAGUUGACAGUUAAAAACUGGUGUGUGUAAUUACGUAUCAAUUAUCAUAGAAUUUUCUAAAAUGAGUGAUAAUUCUUCUUUAAUCGUGUGUUCCUAUGAGUAUUGCGGUACAGUUUAUAAUAUCGAAGGUGAUCAAGCUUUCCAUGAAUCAUUGAAAAAAGAUUCAAAUUACGCUUCAGAAAUCUUACAACAGUUAGUAAACAACAGCGAUAAAGAAAAUAUUGAAAAUGUAGAACAGUCCAAUAGUGAUUUGCAUGAUGAUGAACUGACUAACGUCAUUCCGAUCGACAAUUCAACGAGCAGUGAAGAUCUGACUGAUCAAAAUGUUGAUAAAGAAAUACUAGAUACUGAAAACUGGGAACAUUCUGCAGUGAAAUUUUUAUUAAAUGAAUAUUUCAUUCGAAAGAACAGAUUCAGAGAUCCUAAAAUUAAAAAAAAAACUCUAUGGUGCGAAAUCGCCAAUGAAUUUAGAAAAAUUAACAAAAGAGUAACCUAUAACGAUGUUAGUAAAAAAUUUUCAAAUUUAAAAACAUUUUACUCAAAAAUUAAAAAAAAUAAUGCUAAAACAACAACGGGAACUGGACGUAAAUCAUGGCAAUGGUUACCUCAGAUGGAGGAUAUCUUUCAUAACGAUUUAUCAAUUAAUUUUUCUUCAAAUGUGAUGACAAGUAUGUCUUACGUAAAUGAAGAACCAAUGAACUUAUCAACUGAAUCAACAAGUCAAGAUAAUAAUCAAGAAAAUUCAGCAGAGGAAACAUCAUCUUCCCAAAAAGUACCUGAUAAUACUAGUGCAAAUAUGCAAUUGUCACCAAAAUUUUUGAAGUCUGCUAGAGGCAAAAGCAUCUAUUAUCACCGUCAGAAGCAACUUGAUUUAGAUAACACAAAGGUAGAAAUGAUGAAGAAAUUAGUUGAGAAAUUGGAUGAAAAUAAAAACAUACAAAACAAACAGAUAGAUAUCUGGAACCAAAGAGUUAGCGAAUUGACCGCUGUUUUCAAGGAGCGGAAUGAGAUUCUUAAAAAUAUAUCAAACAAGCUUGGUAAUUGAUGGAACAUAAACACAUGUUGACAUCAAUUUUCCACAUCGAUGAUCGCUAUUUAUUAAUAAGAAAGAGUUAUUAAUAUUCUAAGACUAUAAAGUACCCAAGUAUAAAAAUUUGUAGUCGUAAUUAUUAUUAGUUGUAAGAAAAGACUGCUCUGAAAACAAAGAAAAUGACUGAUGUUUAUUAUCUACUGGUAUAGAUAGUAUAUCAUAUAGAAUUUGUUUGUUAUUCUAUGCACGAAGAUAUUACUUCCUUUGAUAGGAAGCUUUAAGAAGUACUUAAAAAAAGCUCGUUACAGGAUUAUAUGACAUGGUACUAAAAUAUACCUGUAAUUAACUAUAAUUUCUUUAAUUUGCCCAGUGCAGUUUUGAUUUUGAUUAUGUUCUUUAUAAAUUUUAAUAUAUAACAAAUUUAUAGAUGAUUCAAAUAAGAAAAAAGACUGCUUAUUCAAAUAGAAAUAAUGAGUGAUGUUAAAUAUCUACUGGUAUAUAUAGUUAAGUAUAUUUGAUUGCAAUUAAUACGUGCAAAGAAAUAUUUAUAGUGUUCUAACUCGUGACAAGCUUUAUAUAUAAUAUUUAAAAAAAGAGAUCUAUGAGUAUGACAAGUUCUAAAAGAAAUAUAUAUUUCAAUUAUUUCAUUGAUUGUUUAUUUAAAUUAUCGUUAAGAUUUAUAUUACUUAUUCAUAAUAUAAGAGAAAUAGCUAUCAUUGUUUAUACAAUAGGCGCAGCCAAAGAUGAGACUUGACGGAUCACGUGGUUAGACCUGCGCAAUAGAUAGUUCUCAGACCAUUUUGGCGGUAAGCGAGGCAAGCGGGGAGGGACGGGACCGUUGCGCGGUGAGACGAGAGCGUGCGGGGCGAGGUACGGCCGCCGCGCAUGCGUAUCAGUCGUGUGACGCUCCCCCACUGCUGCCAGGUCUCCCGAUUUUCCGGGAGUUCUCCCGAUUUUACUAAAUGUCUCCCGAUAUCCCGGAUCCUUAAUUAAACCUCCCGAUUUUAAUUUACUGUUCCACAGAUUCAACUCAAGUUACUAAAAACACUGCCUCUACUGCGUGAAACGAAUCACCGAACCACCGAACGAAUCACAAAAGUAAUGAGUUUGUAAAGUAUGUAGCGUAAAGUAUGCCUUGAUGGAAUGGAAUAAAGUUGAAUAUAAAACAGCAAACCUUUGGAAUUCAGAGAACAUAGACAAACUGGUUUCUCUAAUUAUUAUACGACCAAAUUAGGAGACAUAGUUCAGUUUAGUAAUAGUAAUAGUAUUAGUAAGGUAUUUUAAAUCAACAGCAUUAGAUUAGAUUGCGUCUGUGAAGUGAAGUGAGCAAAGUUUUGUUUGCUUGCAUUUUGCAAUCGCUUUGUUUUUGUUAUCUCGGACUAAAUAUCGUUUUAAAGUGUUAUAAACAAGUUUUAAAGCUGUAAAAAAUUAUCAGAAUUUAGAAUGUCUAGUUCUGAGAGUGAUAAAGGGGUGCAAAAUACACCUCCAAAGAAAAAGAAGUACAGUGUCAGCUAUAAGCCGGAUUGGGAAAAAGAUGAUCUGUUUGAGGGAUGGUUAUCAAAAAGUAAUAAAGGUCCAGAUUUCGCUUAUUGUAAAGUGUGCUCUUGCGAUAUAAAUAUAACGAGAGGGGGUAAAAAUGAUAUUAAAAGACAUAAAGAGACAAAAAAACACGAAAGCAAUAAGCUGAAAAUUCGAGGUCAACAGAGUCUAGACCAGAUGUUUACAAAAAAAUCUACAUCGUUAGAAAAACUAGUAAAACAAUCAGAAAUUAGAAUCGCCGCAUUCAUAGUUGAACAUAAUAUUCCGAUCAAUGUGAUGGAACAUUUCCCAGAUUUAAUAAGAGCAGUAUGCCCAGAUUCUGAAGUUGCAAAAAGGAUUACCUGUGGACGUACUAAAACAACAAAAAUUAUUUCGGAGGUGUUGGGAAGAAGUGACGUUGACAUCAUGGUUGAAGCCAUGCAGACAAAUAAAUUUUCAUUAACAGCUGAUGAAAGUACUGAUAAAAGUACAAAAAAGCAUUUGGCAGUAAUUGUGAGGAUUGCUCGAAAUAAUCUGAAGGUAAAUAUUAUGUUUAUAAUGUAAAGUUUACAUUUCAAAUAUGUUACUUUUGUAUACUUUUUAAACCCUAUUCUUUUUCAGGUGGAAGAUUUUUUUUUUUAAUUAUUUGAAAUUCUUGAAGGUAACGCCGAAAAAUUGCAUGAAGUAAUUA